GUAUUGCACAAUGGGCGCAAGCCUGAUGCAGCCAUGCCGCGUGUGUGAAGAAGGCCUUCGGGUUGUAAAGCACUUUCAGCGAGGAGGAAGGCCAGUGACUUAAUAAGUGACUGGAUUGACGUUACUCGCAGAAGAAGCACCGGCUAACUCCGUGCCAGCAGCCGCGGUAAUACGGAGGGUGCAAGCGUUAAUCGGAAUUACUGGGCGUAAAGCGCACGCAGGCGGUUUGUUAAGUCAGAUGUGAAAUCCCCGAGCUUAACUUGGGAACUGCAUUUGAAACUGGCAAGCUAGAGUCUUGUAGAGGGGGGUAGAAUUCCAGGUGUAGCGGUGAAAUGCGUAGAGAUCUGGAGGAAUACCGGUGGCGAAGGCAGCCCCCUGGACAAAGACUGACGCUCAGGUGCGAAAGCGUGGGGAGCAAACAG
Molecule: ribosomal RNA, 422 nt
Filed under: uncultured bacterium
Lineage: Bacteria
Description: bacterial SSU rRNA
Rfam family: Bacterial small subunit ribosomal RNA
Source: RNAcentral